RNAcentral lists this ribosomal RNA (468 nucleotides) under uncultured bacterium. Its description in RNAcentral is "bacterial SSU rRNA". It matches the Rfam family "Bacterial small subunit ribosomal RNA", at positions 335 to 796 of the family's 1533-position model. The record is from RNAcentral.
ACUCCUACGGGAGGCAGCAGUUUCGAAUCAUUCACAAUGGGCGAAAGCCUGAUGGUGCGACGCCGCGUGGGGGAUGAAGGUCUUCGGAUUGUAAACCCCUGUCACCAGGGACAAAAAGACAUUGGUUAAUAGCCGGUGUCCUGAUUUAACCUGGAGAGGAAGCAGUGGCUAACUCUGUGCCAGCAGCCGCGGUAAUACAGAGACUGCAAGCGUUAUUCGGAUUCACUGGGCGUAAAGGGUGCGCAGGCGGCCAGGUAUGUCAGGUGUGAAAGCCCGGGGCUUAACCCCGGAACUGCGCCUGAAACUACCUGGCUAGAGUUUCGGAGAGGGAAGCGGAAUUCUCGGUGUAGCGGUGAAAUGCGUAGAUAUCGAGAGGAACACCAAUGGCGAAGGCAGCUUCCUGGACGACAACUGACGCUCAGGCACGAAAGCGUGGGGAGCGAAAGGGAUUAGAAACCCGAGUAGUCC